UACGGAGGAUGCGAGCGUUAUCCGGAUUUAUUGGGUUUAAAGGGUGCGCAGGCGGUCUGUUAAGUCAGCGGUCAAAGCCCGGGGCUCAACCCCGGCCCGCCGUUGAAACUGGCAGUCUCGAGUUGGAGAGAAGUAUGCGGAAUGCGCGGUGUAGCGGUGAAAUGCAUAGAUAUCAGGAGGAACAUCGGUGGCGUAAGCGCUUUACUGGGCCGUAAUUGACGCUGAGGAACGAAAGCCAGGGUAGCAAAUGGG
RNAcentral lists this ribosomal RNA (252 nucleotides) under uncultured bacterium. RNAcentral describes it as "partial 16S ribosomal RNA". It matches the Rfam family "Bacterial small subunit ribosomal RNA", at positions 524 to 776 of the family's 1533-position model. The record is from RNAcentral.